Molecule: ribosomal RNA, 575 nt
Filed under: uncultured Basidiomycota
Lineage: Eukaryota; Fungi; Basidiomycota
Description: eukaryotic LSU rRNA
Rfam family: 5.8S ribosomal RNA (bases 174-327)
Source: RNAcentral
CAUUAUUGAAUCCAAUGGAUGUUGCUGGCCUCUAGGGGCAUGUGCACUCCAACCAUUUCAAUCCACCUGUGCACUUAUUGUAGUCCCGGAUGUUAAAGUCCGGGUCUAUGUUUUCUAUACACACACUAUAAAAAGUUUAAAGAAUGUCUAGUUGGAAACAUAAAGUUUAAUACAACUUUCAACAAUGGAUCUCUUGGUUCUCGCAUCGAUGAAGAACGCAGCGAAUUGCGAUAUGUAAUGUGAAUUGCAGAAUUCAGUGAAUCAUCGAAUCUUUGAACGCACCUUGCACCCUUUGGUAUUCCGAAGGGUAUGCCUGUUUGAGUGUCAUUAAAUUCUCAACUUCAAAGGAUCUUGUUAUCUUUUGAAGCUUGGACUAUGGAGGUCAUUGCAGGCAAUAAUAAUGUCAGCUCCUCUUAAAUGCAUUAGCGGAACUUUGUUAAGGACCAGCUUUGGUUUGAUAAUACUAUCUAUGCCGUCGCUGUGGACUUUGUUAUGUUCAGCUUNUAAUGGUCUUAGGACUGUCUCUUAUGAGGCAUACAAAUUUAAGCUUGACCUCAAAUCAGGUAGGACUACCC